RNAcentral lists this ribosomal RNA (388 nucleotides) under Paracheirodon innesi (neon tetra). Its description in RNAcentral is "partial 12S ribosomal RNA". It matches the Rfam family "Bacterial small subunit ribosomal RNA", at positions 794 to 1384 of the family's 1533-position model. Lineage: Eukaryota; Metazoa; Chordata; Actinopteri; Characiformes; Acestrorhamphidae. The record is from RNAcentral.
GCUUAGCCUUAAACUCAGAUGUUAAUAAUACAAGAAACAUCCGCCCGGGUACUACAAGCGCUAGCUUAAAACCCAAAGGACUUGACGGUGUCUCAGACCCACCUAGAGGAGCCUGUUCUAGAACCGAUAAUCCACGUUAAACCUCACCACCCCUUGUUUCCUCAGCCUAUAUACCGCCGUCGCAAGCUUACCCUGUGAAGGGUAAACAGUAAGCAAAAUGGGUAUACCCCAAAACGUCAGGUCGAGGUGUAGCCUACGAGGUGGGAAGAAAUGGGCUACAUUUUCUACAUCAGAAUACACGAACGGCGCCAUGAAACUGGCUCCUAAAGGUGGAUUUAGCAGUAAAAAUCAAAUAGAGAGUCAUUUUGAAUUAGGCUCUGAGACGCGC